CAGCUUUGCAGCGGCAAGAGCCAGCAGCACAAGCGUGCCUGCUGCCGCGGCUGCGGCGCCGACCCCCGGCCCUGGCGCUAUCUUUGCUAGAUCGUGCACACGCAACGGGCCCUCAACACCAGAAGCUGAACGGAAACGGUGGGCACGCGCGAACGAGGCACCUGAGAAGCGUGCAGAACGCUUGAAGAAAGAUGCGAAGCGCAAGCGCCAGAAACGGGCUGCGCAAUCUAAGAAGGCGGUGAAGUAGCAAAGGUAAGAUAGAUGUACAGGGGUAGGUGGUGGUUAUUUUAUGAACCAUGAUUAAGUUCCAUGUUGAAGCACCGUGGAUGAGGGCAUCAUAUGGCUGUGUGCACGUUAUUUGACAUGGUCAGGUUGCGACAUGUCGACAUGUGGAUUGCGACAUACGACAUACCGACAUACCAAGACUGGCCCACAUUUGCAUAGCUACGCGUCCUGGAGCCCAUUUAAGUAACAUCUCCCAGCUUUGCGGCGGUGUAUUGCGCUAGCGUAGCCACAAGCUGCGAGAACGCAAGAAUGGCAACUGCCUUUGCGCACUGGUAGUUGUGGCGUGGCCAGUCUGGCUACGCCAUGGCAUGGGUCCGUAACGAUGUUGGACACGCCGAACGUUUACUUAUGAUCGCCGAUACCGAUGGUGCCUAGACAUUUGCGCCUGUACUGAUUUGCAUUUAUGUUCAUGUGCAUCGUGUGUCACAUUCACAUGUUACACAUGCAUGUCCGCUCACACGCCCAAGCGCUACCGCACACGCCCAGACUAGGGAAUGCGCAUCAGCAAACUUCCAGCCAGCCAGCAACUUGUCGGUACAGUAACUCCGGCGUUCGACCAGCCAUGCACUCCUGCUCUGCCGCUGCAAACUGUUUGCUGUCUGCUUGGGGUACGGGCGUCAGCUGCACCCUAAGGGACCUCGCCAACCUGCCUGAACCCUGUCCCAUCACACGCCCAGACUAGGGCCAGGGGUGGCGGGGGAAGGGUAUCAGCGCCGGCCAGUGCGCGGGGGGCAAGCUCACACGCCCACGGGCUGGAAG
RNAcentral lists this long non-coding RNA (1044 nucleotides) under Chlamydomonas reinhardtii. RNAcentral describes it as "long non-coding RNA (CREI_LNC001232)". Lineage: Eukaryota; Viridiplantae; Chlorophyta; Chlorophyceae; Chlamydomonadales; Chlamydomonadaceae. The record is from RNAcentral.